UGUUUAUUGCAAGCAAAUAUGAAGAAAUGUACCCUCCAGAAAUUGGUGACUUUGCUUUUGUGACUGACAACACUUAUACUAAGCACCAAAUCAGACAGAUGGAAAUGAAGAUUCUAAGAGCUUUAAACUUUGGUCUGGGUCGGCCUCUACCUUUGCACUUCCUUCGGAGAGCAUCUAAGAUUGGAGAGUUGAUGUCGAGCAACAUACUUUGGCCAAAUACCUGAUGGAACUAACUAUGUUGGACUAUGACAUGGUGCACUUUCCUCCUUCUCAAAUUGCAGCAGGAGCUUUUUGCUUAGCACUGAAAAUUCUGGAUAAUGGUGAAUGGGUAAGCUGU
Molecule: long non-coding RNA, 337 nt
Filed under: Homo sapiens (human)
Lineage: Eukaryota; Metazoa; Chordata; Mammalia; Primates; Hominidae
Description: long non-coding RNA NONHSAT101891.2
Source: RNAcentral